UGUAGAACCCCGGCACUUAGAAUCUUAACGCAUCCCGCCCCCUGAACAUUCCGUGACAGUAACGGCCCACCCUCCGGAAUAAACCAGCAGCUCGAAGCUAAUUUCAUGUCCCAUACAUCUGGGCAACCUGCAACCCCCCCGCCAAUCACAGGUGCUUGACAAAUGGGCUGGGAGCAGACCCUCUGGGGCAGCAGACUGCAUACUCCACUGACUAACUUGGGGCCUGGGAUCCAGGGUAAUUUCAGAGACCAACAUCAGUUCUGGGGUUCCACCCGAGUCCUAAAGGAAAGGUCCCGUCUGAAAAGAAAUGUGCUUUCCAGAAAGCCCCAGCUUUAUCAGGUAAAACGAUGUCCUGGAUUUUCCUGCCAGCAGGAAUCAGGAAGGCAGGCUCUGGAAUUCAAAGCGGUCGAGUGUGGUCGAGUGCAAUCAGCCGGGUCGGUCUCAACACACCGCCGUGCGCCGCGUGAAACACGGGGUCUCCCCGGGCAGGCCCCACACACCCCGAUCUCCUUUUCCCCAGCCCUCCUUUCGGCCCGUAAGUGAUGCCAAAGGUGACCGGACAAAUAGCGAGGGGGGAUUCACCGCCUGGAAGGUCUAGAGCGGAGAGAAAGAGCCAAACCAGCGUGGGUCUGAGACCCUCGGCGGCCAACCCCGGGGACCGGGUGUCAGCGGGGCUCACAGUCGCGACUGCCCUGGAAGGCUACCCCUCUGCACUCAUCAGCACGCGCUCAACACGAGGCAUGGGACGUGUCUUUAUUAAAGAUGCAAGCAAGCACAGACAGAUCAUGUGUGGUGCUCAGUAAUAUCCAUACAGUACUAAAAAUAGAAAAAUAGAAAAGAAAUUUCACAGAAAGCAGCCUCCCUCACAGAUACACAGAAAAGGCGCAGCCAAGCCCACCAUGCAAUGCCGCAUAAAACACCGGCGUGUGUCUGCACCUCUUCCAAGACAGCAACACAGCACAGAGACCCUUACACGUGGUGGCGACCCUCCAGCCACCACCGGGGGCGCCUGCCGGCCACGUAAACUUCCAAGACGACCCCGGUCCCGCCGCGGCGGCAACACGCACACCGGCGGCCGGCCCGGCCGCUGCCUGGCCGCGUCUCAUCGCUUCCCCAGCCAAAUGCGGGCCAGACGACGAAGCAAGGGGUGGGGCGGUGAAGACAUCACCUGUGCUCCCGCAGACACACUGGGGUGCAAAGGCCGUGCGCCCGCAGGUAUACUGGGGUGCAAAGGCGAGACGGCCAACCAGUCUGAGUGAAACAGGGCGUUGAACCUGCAAAGUGGCUCUCCCGUGGCCGGGAGCCUCGGGCGCACACAGAACAGACUGGCCGAUGAGCGAGUCUGAGGAACUUACUAUGGAGCAUCUGCUCGCCAGCAUAAAGAGCUCUCUGCCUCAGGGAACGAGAGUUCGGGGAAGGAAAACUCAGACUCCACGUACGCUCGGUCUCUGCGGCAGGUUCUCCGGGCACCGCGUGAGAGCCCGUCGGCCGGCCUCCCCGGCAGGUUCCCUCAAGGAACGUUCUGUUGGUUCCUCCGUAUGGGGUGUCUGAGGCCACCCGCUGGGAGGCCCUGGCAGAGGGCCAUCCUCCCUGCAGAUGCCGAGCGGACGGUCCCUGCUUUGUUUCAGGAAGGUUACAGAGCACUGAACUCAUCGAAAGGAACAGCGGCCCCCACACACCCAACUCCUCCUGUGUCUUCACCUCCGAACCGGGUGAGAACAGAACGGCUGUGCCAUACAGAACAGAACUACAAAAAUAAAGAGUCAACCCUGAGAUCUUCCUACCAUUUGGGUGUGGCUCGCUCCUGAGUCCCCUCGGAAAUGAACUUCUAUUUGGUUUACUGACAUUUAUUUAGAUUUCCAAGUGAAAAGCUCUAUAAAAUACAAUAAAUAAUGUGGGGUUGUAAAAGGCAGACGUUCUAGCUGCGUAUGUUACAGACUCUAUACUUAUGAUACAGGCCGUCAGAACCGCCAGCUUUACAACGCUUGUGGUCGCACACGGAGAGACUUCAAAGCCCAAAGGCGACACGGCUGCUCCGGAGGGGAAGCAGGGCCCCCUCUUCCUCCGGCGUCUCGGCCGUUCCCUCCCUCCCCCGGGCCUCACGCUGCUUCCGGAGUUCGUCCAGCAAGGAACAAAUGAGUGCAUACGGGACUUUUAGCUAGUAGAGCGUCUGGGUGCUGUGAGCAUGCAAGUUUGCCGUCGCCGUGAUUAUAAAUAAAAGUCAAACGUCAGGUCACACUUCCCCAUCUUCUGUUUGUACACCAAGUCAAACUUCUCGUUCAUGGAGACAGUGAAGAUGUCCUUCCACAGCCCGACUCUUCCUGCAACACAAACGAGAGCAGAGUGUGCUGAAUUCACUCGCCGCCGGGCCAGAUACCGAACCAAAGGGAGCCUUGGAAAUGGUUCUGGAAGGUUCCAGAUCUAUUUCUGGACCCUUCUGAGCUUGGCCUAGCGGGGGCAGGACAGGCCACCUGAACCCGUUUCCCUGAGGCUGGUCAUCCUGGUGUCCCUUCCCUGCUGGGUGGGGCCCACGGGCACGGAUACGCAGAGCCGAGGCUCGCAAGCAAGGCCUCGGCCCCUGUUCCCUGGCGGAUGCCCGGCACCCAGGCACAGGGCGGGGGAUUCACAACACCCUGGAGGACAGUCAGUCUCCGGGGAGCAGAUCUGCUGCUCUAGGCAUCGUGUGGACUUGGGUCCUCUGUGCCAGCAUUAUUCACUCGACUCGACAGCUCCGCCAAGUUGGCAUUUGCUUGUGGAGAAUUUAAAAAGGAAAAAAAGAAAAAAUCAUCCAAAAAGACAGAACCUUUCAUGGUGA
This is a long non-coding RNA of Felis catus (domestic cat), 2815 nucleotides long. RefSeq lists it as uncharacterized. The transcript has 2 exons. The record is from RefSeq and is a predicted model, not a curated record. NCBI's taxonomy places the organism in Eukaryota, Metazoa, Chordata, Mammalia, Carnivora, Felidae.